This 468-nucleotide ribosomal RNA is filed under the name uncultured bacterium. Its description in RNAcentral is "partial 16S ribosomal RNA". It matches the Rfam family "Bacterial small subunit ribosomal RNA", at positions 28 to 507 of the family's 1533-position model. The record is from RNAcentral.
GACGAACGCUGGCGGCGGGCUUAACACAUGCAAGUCGAACGGAAAGGCCCUGCUUUUGUGGGGUGCUCGAGUGGCGAACGGGUGAGUAACACGUGAGUAACCUGCCCUUGACUUUGGGAUAACUUCAGGAAACUGGGGCUAAUACCGGAUAGGAGCUCCUGCUGCAUGGUGGGGGUUGGAAAGUUUCGGCGGUUGGGGAUGGACUCGCGGCUUAUCAGCUUGUUGGUGGGGUAGUGGCUUACCAAGGCUUUGACGGGUAGCCGGCCUGAGAGGGUGACCGGCCACAUUGGGACUGAGAUACGGCCCAGACGCCUACGGGAGGCAGCAGUGGGGAAUAUUGCACAAUGGGCGGAAGCCUGAUGCAGCAACGCCGCGUGCGGGAUGACGGCCUUCGGGUUGUAAACCGCUUUCGCCUGUGACGAAGCGUGAGUGACGGUAAUGGGUAAAGAAGCACCGGCUAACUACGUG